GGAGAAAAUAAAGCGCACCCGGAUCUGAAUUUCAUGGAAUUACAUAGAAUGUGCUUCGGGCUUCUCAUCAUAAAAAUUCACAAAGGGUUGAUGGUAAGGGGUCAUGCCCAUAAGGAGUGUGAGUUCCUGCGCGCGGAGAAGGCUAGGGUCCCGGAAGCCUGGAGAAACUGAAGACGGAGAAGAAAUUCGGAAUCCUGCAAGGCAUUGGACCUAAGAAUUCCUUUCAAAGAUCCCCUAAGUCAGUUACGGUUGUCUGUCCUUAUUCAUGAGAAGAUACCUGUUGGCACAGAAGAAGUCAAAG
This is a long non-coding RNA of Ailuropoda melanoleuca (giant panda), 301 nucleotides long. RefSeq lists it as uncharacterized. The transcript is spliced from 3 exons. The record is from RefSeq and is a predicted model, not a curated record. Lineage: Eukaryota; Metazoa; Chordata; Mammalia; Carnivora; Ursidae.